This 744-nucleotide ribosomal RNA is filed under the name uncultured Methanotrichaceae archaeon. Its description in RNAcentral is "bacterial SSU rRNA". It matches the Rfam family "Archaeal small subunit ribosomal RNA", at positions 85 to 830 of the family's 1478-position model. The record is from RNAcentral. Lineage: Archaea; Methanobacteriati; Methanobacteriota; Methanomicrobia; Methanotrichales; Methanotrichaceae.
ACGGCUCAGUAACACGUGGACAACCUGCCCUUGAGACGGGGAUAAACCCGGGAAACUGGGUAUAAUACCCGAUAGAUCUCGAUUGCUGGAAUGCAUCGAGCUUGAAAGCUCCGGCGCUCAAGGAUGGGUCUGCGGCCUAUCAGGUAGUAGUGGGUGUAGCGUACCUACUAGCCUACGACGGGUACGGGUUGUGAGAGCAAGAGCCCGGAGAUGGAUUCUGAGACACGAAUCCAGGCCCUACGGGGUGCAGCAGGCGCGAAAACUUUACAAUGCUGGAAACAGCGAUAAGGGGACCUCGAGUGCCAGGUUACAAAUCUGGCUGUCGUGAUGCCUAAAAAGCAUUGCAUAGCAAGGGCCGGGCAAGACCGGUGCCAGCCGCCGCGGUAACACCGGCGGCUCGAGUGGUAACCGUUAUUAUUGGGUCUAAAGGGUCUGUAGCCGGCCGGAUAAGUCUCUUGGGAAAUCUGGCAGCUUAACUGUCAGGCUUUCAGGAGAUACUGUCUGGCUCGAGGCCGGGAGAGGUGAGAGGUACUUCAGGGGUAGGGGUGAAAUCUUGUAAUCCUUGAAGGACCACCAGUGGCGAAGGCGUCUCACCAGAACGGACCUGACGGCAAGGGACGAAAGCUAGGGGCACGAACCGGAUUAGAUACCCGAGUAGUCCUAGCCGUAAACGAUACUCGCUAGGUGUCGGCAACGGUGCGACCGUUGUCGGUGCCGUAGGGAAGCCGUGAAGCGAGCCACCUG